AUGCGUCUCGCCGCCGCCGCCGCCGUCCUCCGCCCCGUGCUCUGCCUCCUCCCCUUUAGUCGCCCACCCGCCACGCCGCCUUCUCCUCUACCGUUCCUCUCCCUUCGCCGUGCUCGGGAGGAGAGCGACAGGCGGACUGGUGCAUCCCCAACGACGGGAGAAGCACAGGAACCGCCGCCUCCGGCGAGGCGCUCCUGCGCGACCAGUUCAAGACGAUCCUGCAGAAGGUCGACGAGAAGGGCGCGCCGCCACCGUCAGCAGGCCGGUCAGCAUCCACGCGCUACUCGGCGUCGUGAGGUCGCCGGCACAGCUCCUCGCGCCCACGCCGUUCAAACAUGCCACGACCUGCCCUUCUCCGGUGCACUUGGCAGCCGCAGAUGCUCCACCUCCUCCGCCUCAGCCCUCAACUCGUCGGGUGGCCUGAGGGGAGCGAUGCCUAGGCCGUUCUCUUCCUCACCACGCGGCGCCGGGAGGAUCCACAAGAGGGGGAGCGGCAACAAAUCGCGACGGAGGAGCAUGGGCUGCAAAUUCGUAUGA
RNAcentral lists this ribosomal RNA (537 nucleotides) under Triticum aestivum (bread wheat). Its description in RNAcentral is "partial small subunit ribosomal RNA". The record is from RNAcentral. Lineage: Eukaryota; Viridiplantae; Streptophyta; Magnoliopsida; Poales; Poaceae.